Molecule: transfer RNA, 76 nt
Filed under: Candidatus Saccharimonadota bacterium
Lineage: Bacteria; Candidatus Saccharimonadota
Description: tRNA-Ala
Rfam family: tRNA
About the family: Transfer RNA (tRNA) molecules are approximately 80 nucleotides in length. Their secondary structure includes four short double-helical elements and three loops (D, anti-codon, and T loops). Further hydrogen bonds mediate the characteristic L-shaped molecular structure. tRNAs have two regions of fundamental functional importance: the anti-codon, which is responsible for specific mRNA codon recognition, and the 3' end, to which the tRNAs corresponding amino acid is attached (by aminoacyl-tRNA synthetases). tRNAs cope with the degeneracy of the genetic code in two manners: having more than one tRNA (with a specific anti-codon) for a particular amino acid; and 'wobble' base-pairing, i.e. permitting non-standard base-pairing at the 3rd anti-codon position.
Source: RNAcentral
GGGGAUGUAGCUCAGUUGGUAGAGCGCCUGCUUUGCAAGCAGGAUGUCGCAGGUUCGACCCCUGUCAUCUCCACCA